Non-coding RNA from Delphinapterus leucas (beluga whale), 584 nucleotides. NCBI's taxonomy places the organism in Eukaryota, Metazoa, Chordata, Mammalia, Artiodactyla, Monodontidae. The record is from RefSeq and is a predicted model, not a curated record.
AUUCUUAACCACUGCACCACCAGGGAAGUCCCCGUACGUAGUUUGAUUUGUCAUUUGAGUUGAGUUGUUCCUCUGCUGUUAUGUUCCACUACAGAAACUGCACAGCUCCUCCUGGUGGUCUCCGACGGACGCGGCCUUUUCUUUGAGGGCAAAGACAGAGUCCUAGCAGCAGUUCAGGCCGCCCGGAAUGCUAACAUCUUUGUCAUUUUUGUUGUGUUGGACAAUCCCAGUUCACGGGAUUCUAUCUUGGACAUCAAGGUACCAAUAUUUAAAGGGCCUGGAGAGAUGCCUGAAAUCCGAUCCUACAUGGAAGAGUUCCCAUUCCCGUUCUAUAUAAUCCUACGCGAUGUGAACGCACUUCCCGAGACGCUCAGCGAUGCUCUCAGGCAGUGGUUUGAGCUGGUGACAGCCUCUGACCACCCGUAGAACAGAAGGAACACAGUCCUAAGUGAGACUUUGCGGUCAGAAUGUCACACUGCUUGCCGGGUGCUCCCUUUUGGACAACUGUUUCUGAACUCCCAGCUCAAAAAUGGUAUUUAAUCUUAGAUUUGAUUUAUAAUCAUUCACCCAACAGCUACAAAAAA